AACUAACGCUGGCGGCGUGCCUAACACAUGCAAGUCGUACGAGAAAGCCGGCUUCGGCUGGUGAGUAAAGUGGCGCACGGGUGAGUAACGCGUGGAUAAUCUGCCCUUAAGUGUGGAAUAACGUACCGAAAGGUGCGCUAAUACCGCAUAAUGCCUGGCAACACAAGUUGUCCGGCCAAAGAAGGCCUCUGUUUACAAGCUUUCGCUUCAGGAUGAGUCCGCGUACCAUUAGUUUGUUGGUGGGGUAAUGGCCUACCAAGGCUGCGAUGGUUAGCUGGUCUGAGAGGAUGAUCAGCCACACUGGAACUGAGACACGGUCCAGACUCCUACGGGAGGCAGCAGUGAGGAAUAUUGCGCAAUGGGGGCAACCCUGACGCAGCAACGCCGCGUGAGUGAGGAAGGUUUUCGGACUGUAAAGCUCUGUCGAGCGGGAAGAAGUGUACCAUGGCUAAUAUCCAUGAUAUUUGAGGUACCGCUAGAGGAAGCACC
This 489-nucleotide ribosomal RNA is filed under the name uncultured bacterium. Its description in RNAcentral is "bacterial SSU rRNA". It matches the Rfam family "Bacterial small subunit ribosomal RNA", at positions 29 to 494 of the family's 1533-position model. The record is from RNAcentral.